CAAGACUAAAACCAGUUUAACAACGCAUCGUUAUUCGAUUCAAUUACUUUGUGUUUUGUACAUAAUGUAUACAAUGUGCAUGUAUAAUGCAUUAAUGUGUUAUUAUGAUUUAUAUGUAUGUACCUGUAUAAUAUGACGUCAAUUGUGUGGUGUGUAGUGUGUACUUACAUUACAGUUAUGUUAUAGGAUUUAUUUGAUAAAAACCAAUUGAUUACAGGUAUCGAGGAACCACCCCUCCCUCCAAAA
Cinara cedri is the source of this 246-nucleotide non-coding RNA. The record is from the annotation of a GenBank genome assembly. NCBI's taxonomy places the organism in Eukaryota, Metazoa, Arthropoda, Insecta, Hemiptera, Aphididae.